This 492-nucleotide ribosomal RNA is filed under the name uncultured bacterium. RNAcentral describes it as "partial 16S ribosomal RNA". It matches the Rfam family "Bacterial small subunit ribosomal RNA", at positions 29 to 507 of the family's 1533-position model. The record is from RNAcentral.
AGUGAACGCUGGCGGUAGGCCUAACACAUGCAAGUCGAACGGCAGCACAGUAAUAGCUUGCUCUUACGGGUGGCGAGUGGUGGACGGGUGAGGAAUACAUCGGAAUCUACUUUUUCGUGGGGGAUAACGUAGGGAAACUUACGCUAAUACCGCAUACUACUUACGGGUGAAAGCAGGGGAUCUUCGGACCUUGCGCGAUUGAAUGCGCCGAUGUCGGAUUAGCUAGUUGGCGGGGUAAAGGCCCACCAAGGCGACGAUCCGUAGUUGGUCUGAGAGGAUGAACAGCCACACUGGAACUGAGACACGGUCCAGACUCCUACGGGAGGCAGCAGUGGGGAAUAUUGGACAAUGGGCGGAAGCCUGAUCCAGCCAUACCGCGUGGGUGAAGCAGGCCUUCGGGUUGUAAAGCCCUUUUGUUGGGAAAGAAAAGCAGCAGGUUAAUACCCCGCUGUUCUGACGGUACCCAAAGAAUAAGCACCGGCUAACUUCGUG